AACGAACGCUGGCGGCAGGCUUAACACAUGCAAGUCGAACGGAUCCUUCGGGAUUAGUGGCAGACGGGUGAGUAACGCGUGGGAACGUACCCUUUGCUACGGAAUAACUCAGGGAAACUUGAGCUAAUACCGUAUGUGCCCUACGGGGGAAAGAUUUAUCGGCAAAGGAUCGGCCCGCGUUGGAUUAGCUAGUUGGUGGGGUAAUGGCCUACCAAGGCGACGAUCCAUAGCUGGUCUGAGAGGAUGAUCAGCCACACUGGGACUGAGACACGGCCCAGACUCCUACGGGAGGCAGCAGUGGGGAAUAUUGGACAAUGGGCGCAAGCCUGAUCCAGCCAUGCCGCGUGAGUGAUGAAGGUCGUAGGAUUGUAAAGCUCUUUCACCGGUGAAGAUAAUGACGGUAGCCGGAGAAGAAGCCCCGGCUAACUUCGUG
Molecule: ribosomal RNA, 433 nt
Filed under: uncultured bacterium
Lineage: Bacteria
Description: partial 16S ribosomal RNA
Rfam family: Bacterial small subunit ribosomal RNA
Source: RNAcentral